This 209-nucleotide long non-coding RNA is filed under the name Numida meleagris (helmeted guineafowl). RNAcentral describes it as "lncRNA (ENSNMEG00000001052.1)". The record is from RNAcentral. Lineage: Eukaryota; Metazoa; Chordata; Aves; Galliformes; Numididae.
GUUGCUCUACUCAUGUUAAUCCCAUGUCCAUCCUAUGUCCAUCCCAUGUUGAUCCCGUGUCGCUUUGCUGCUCUACUCAUGUUAAUCCCAUGUAGAUCCCGUGUCGGUAUCAUGUUGAUCCCGUGUUGAUCCCAUGUUGAUCCCAUGUUGAUCCCAUGCAGAUUCCGUGUUGAUCCCGUGUUGGUAUCAUGUUGAUCCCAUGUUGAUCC